This is a non-coding RNA of Salmo salar (Atlantic salmon), 3018 nucleotides long. The record is from RefSeq and is a predicted model, not a curated record. NCBI's taxonomy places the organism in Eukaryota, Metazoa, Chordata, Actinopteri, Salmoniformes, Salmonidae.
UUGAAUCAUUCCUCUCUCUGGCUAUCUAGCUAAACAAAUAUACAGCUCAGAUAAAUUCUUCAAAUUCAUAAUUCUACAUAAUAUUUUAUCACAGCACUGGCGAACCAUGGUUGGCAAACUCCCUGACCAAAAUGGCAGAUCCCGUCAUAAAAAGGUUCAUUUCCAUUCUAGUAUUCUAAUGCGGUAAAUAGGUCAAUCGAACUCGACCAAAACAAUGGAAUUGCAAUGGAAACGCGUGGAGGAAACGCGUGGAGGAAACGUGGGGGAAAGAGCCAGUCUCCCCCCAGCAAAGUGUGCCUACAUUUAGGCUAUUGUUUAUAUGAGUAUGUCACACUAUGUUGAGGUAAAAAUCUGAGUCACAUGUUCAUGUCAUCUCACCAAUCAACUGCAUUAGUUAAAAACGGUUUUGACUACCACCACCGAUUUUUGUAUGCUAGCUAUGCUAACCGUUUAUACAAACGGGAGUUAGCGUUUAGCAGUCACUUCUUCUAAACCUGAAAAAAGGGACAACCUAGCGAAAACUGCCAAAUAUAUCAAAAUCAGACUUAAGUAACCACAUUGUAGGCCUGUUACAAUACAUAAAUAAUGAUGGAUUUGAGGAAUAUCCACUUUGUUAGAUCAGAUUUAUUGAAUGUGCACCAAUCUGGUCAACAGAACGGCCUGCGCCUCUGUGACUCCUUUACCCCAUGUGUCACAAAAUUCUUUAAAGAACGCUCACUUCAAGAAAGUUCCAUGAAACUCUUAGUUCUAGAACGACACACUCAAUAAUUGUAACUUUUGCUGCAGCAACAUUAUUUCCUUCAAAUUGGUGGCGCAUGCGGUUGCUGAGCAACAGGCGUCUCACCUACACUUUGACCAGACCAACAUUAACCAGCAGAAAGUGCCAAAAUUCUUUCUCUGAGGCAUUCUCUACUGGCAUGGAUCGGUGCACAAACACAAAGGCAGGGGAAUAUUCAAAACAUUCACAGCAAAACACCAACUCCUCUUUCUCACACACACACACACACACACACGCUGAGCUGGAGGAGUGGCCAAUGUAAUCUCUCUCAUGAGCUGCGAUCAAAUGACAGGUUCGCAACAUUUUAGAAGACACAUACAUUUACAAAACAUAACAUACAAAACAUUGCAAUAUUGCAUGUUCUUGUGUAAUAUAGUGAGUGGGUGUGCCAAGUGUGUUUAGCCUAUACGUGUUGCGAACAGACUAGAGUUGAUGAAGCAACUAAACUAUUGAAAAGCUACCGUUAUAAAAUGCAAGCAAUUAAUUUAGACUGCUACAGCCUUUCUCUGCUGACGGCGAAAGAGGACGUUCUGAACCCACGUUCAUAAUUGAGGCUGCCCUAAGGAAUGCAUUCCAGGGACACAGACAGAAAAGGUCCCCAUUGUAUUAAGCUUGAUCUGGAUUACAGGUGAUCCACACACAUACACACACCACAUCCAUAAUCCUCAUACCCAGCUCCCUUCUGCAUUUGCCCCUUCUAGGGUGGACCAUUCUGGGAUUAAGUGGUGGGGUGGCACAGGCCCCUGGCUGGCUUGGCUGUAGUCAAUUGCUCAUCAAAAAGGGGCAUUGUUUGCAUCUGAUGGCAUCACAAACAACCUCAAGCUGUCGGAUUCUGGGGCAGGUGAUGUGUCUGACCUGGCAGGAAGGUUCCAUCCCAGACGUCCCCUCUGCAGGCUCUGAAGGGUGGGGGACGAGGUGGAUGAGUUUCGACAGGGGGAGUGUGCCAGCCAUGUUCCUGCCAUCAGGGCUUUCUUCAAGAGAGAUGUUUGUUUCUGUCGGCGCAAUGGGUGAAGAAACCGGGUGGCUGUACCGACUCUGACAACGUAUCCCGAGUGAGCCAUGUUUCCGUGAAACAGAGAAUGUUACAAUCUCUGGUGUCUCUCUGGAAGGAAACUCGUGCCGUAAUUUCAUCCACUUUGUUAUCUAAUGAUUGGACAUUGGCGAGUAAUAUGCUAGGAAGCGAUGGAUGGUGUGCUCGUCUUCUGAGUCUGACCAGUAGGCUGCUCCGUCUGCCUCUCCUGUGGCGACCACGUUGUUUUGGGUCGGCCUCUGGGAUAAGAUCGCAUGUCCAGGGUGGAGGUCCGAACAAAGGAUUCGCUUCGGGAAAGACGUAUUCCUGGUCGUAAUGAUGGUAAGUUGACAUCACUUUUAUAUCCAAUAGUGCUUCCCGACUAUAUAUAAUAACACUUGAGAUUUUCUGGGCUAACAAUGUAAGAUAUUGUACAUAAAAAAAACAUAAUAACUGCAUAGUUUUCUUAGGACCUGAAGCGAGGUGACCAUCUCAGUCUCACUCUCUCUCUCUUCCUCAGGAGGCCCAUGUGUUCCUCAGUACAGGUUCUACAGAGGAGAGGGUCCUGGCAGUUGUCAGUGAAGCCAGCCAGCAGACUGACACAUCCAGAAGACCAUCUAGAGAUGAAGAGAUAGAGGAGACUGAGCGAUAGAGGAGGAGAGGAGAGAGGAGGAAUGCAGAAUGGCAGCAGAGGAGAGGAAGCACAGGGAGAGAGAGAGGAUACAGCAAGAGAGGAGGGAUGUGGAAGAGAGGGAAAGGAGGAUGAAAGAGAAAAAGGAAAGGAUACAGGAGCAGGUACAGGAAAUUACAAACCCAGAUUGAAGCAGAGACUCACAAACAAGAAAGACUAAGAUGGGAGGCAGCAGCGCUCAUGUCUCAACACUACAAACCCUAGGGAGUUUUUCAAGCACUCUUCCGAUUCCUCAAGAUCUCUUCCUCUUGCACAGUGAGGCCUACAUUCAGACGAUACCAACGGACCCUAACAGACAACUCUUUCAUAUUCAGGAAGUCAGAACCCUCCACUCCCACCUUCCCCCAUAGCCCAACAAUGGUCUGUUCUUUCAGCCAGAAACCCAGUCACCCCCGUAGUCCAACAAUGGUCUCUCCCAGCUCUUCUUCCAAAUCCUCUAAUUCCAUCCAUCCGCAACAACCAUCUUGUGUGGAGCCUAAAAUUCCCCUCUCCAUGUCCUCUCAGGCCCCUUCCCCUCCCCAAACCCCCUUCUUCACACCU